GCACAAUUCAAAAAGAGAACGGGGCCCAUUGGAACAGAGUCAUAUUGAUGCUAUUCAACCUUAAAGCAACCAAACAGAACACUAAAGGUUUUAUAUAAAGGGAAAAGGUAUUUGCCAGUGUCACAUAUGUUUCAACAUGUGUGCAUAGCCUGAAUUAGUCCAACCACUUCCUAAUCUAAGCUGGAUCCCAGCUUCUCUUCUCUUUUCCACUCCCCGAAGUGGAGGAGGUCAGUCCUGUGGACCGUGGUCCAGGAAGCCCAGAUGUGUCUGAAAACAAGCCUUGCUUGCCUUUUUGCCUCUAAAUUUCCUUUCUGCACUGAAGACCCGCUGUGAAUACAGACAUAUGUUUUUAAAGAGACACAGUUUUGUCUUGCUGAUCGCAAUGUAAUUAGAAAGCUAUUUGGCACAUACAGGAACUUCUGUACUAAUUUGGCACUAUCCCAUCCUGCUACUGGCAGCAUUGGUUUUGCUCCCCGUUGGCGAGUCUCCUAGAUGUCUUACAGCUCCUGGAAACAUCAGCCAUGCCUAUUCAGGGAAUAAGUCUGGCAGGAUGCUGACACCUCGUGCAGCACAUGCAGCAGCAAUGUGGCUGUGUGAUGUUGGCUCAUUAUCAGACUCCACCAUGAUGUCUUCUGAUGGGGAAAGGACUCAUCCAGAUCGUGAGUUAUGAUGUUUCAGAUCUCAGGCACCCUUGUUGAUGACCCAUGGGUAUGUGAGUCGCUCUAACAUGGCAGUCUCCAGCAGUCCCCUAUCACUUAAGCCAGUAAUGAGCAGUGCUGCUUCUGAUGUGGAGGUCAUAACCUUUACAGAAAUGUAAACCGAAAAACCAAAC
RNAcentral lists this long non-coding RNA (832 nucleotides) under Gallus gallus (chicken). Its description in RNAcentral is "long non-coding RNA NONGGAT003744". The record is from RNAcentral. Lineage: Eukaryota; Metazoa; Chordata; Aves; Galliformes; Phasianidae.